This 365-nucleotide unclassified non-coding RNA is filed under the name uncultured fungus. RNAcentral's name for it is "partial contains 5.8S ribosomal RNA and internal transcribed spacer 2". The stretch from base 1 to 133 matches the Rfam family "5.8S ribosomal RNA", at positions 22 to 154 of the family's 154-position model. Lineage: Eukaryota; Fungi. The record is from RNAcentral.
UGGCUCUCGCAUCGAUGAAGAACGCAGCGAAAUGCGAUAAGUAAUGUGAAUUGCAGAAUUCAGUGAAUCAUCGAAUCUUUGAACGCACCUUGCGCUCCUUGGUAUUCCGAGGAGCAUGCCUGUUUGAGUGUCAUUAAAUUCUCAACCUCUCUAGUUUUCUGAACUAGUAGAUGGCUUGGAUGUGGGGGUUUGUGCAGGCUUUCACAAGUCAGCUCCCCUGAAAUGCAUUAGCCGGUACUCUCUGACCGUCUAUUGGUGUGAUAAUUAUCUACGCCGUGGACAGAAGAACUUGUGCUGCUUACAACCGUCCUGCAUGGGACAAUCAAUGACAUUUUGGCCUCAAAUCAGGUAGGACUACCCGCUGA